This 1127-nucleotide long non-coding RNA is filed under the name Pan troglodytes (chimpanzee). Its description in RNAcentral is "long non-coding RNA NONPTRT011733". The record is from RNAcentral. Lineage: Eukaryota; Metazoa; Chordata; Mammalia; Primates; Hominidae.
AAAGAUUUGAACAGACACAUCAGAAAAGAAGACAUACAAAUGGCUGCUAAGCACUUGAAAGGAUUCUGAACACCAUUAGUCAUCAGUGAAAUGCAAAUUAAAGCCAUAAUGAAUGGCGCUAUACAUUUUCAGAAUGGCAAGGAAUGAAGACUGAAAAAAAUCAAGCGUUGUGUUAAUGCACAAGGUCUUGUGUUGAAAAUGUAGAGCCACGAGAUAAAAGCAGCUUGGAUGGCUGACUCAUAUACAAGGGCAACUGCCUGAGAGUCACCAGGACUAUCAAGAAGUUUGCAGAAACAAGAAAUAAACUUUUACUGUUUUAAACUUUUGUGAAUUUUGGGUUUUGUUUAUCACCAAAUAAACCUAGUCUAUUCUGAUUGUUAUAAGUGGUUAAUUUGGGAAGUCAGAUAUAUUUAAAAUUGGCUUACUGCUGUAACAUAUACAGUCCAAAUUACAUAAUGGCUCCAAUGCAAUAGAAGUCUUUGUUUUUUUUUGCUCACAUAUCACUUCAUUGAGAUUCUGCAUUAAUUGUAAUGAGGAGGGUGGGGGUGUCUUAUAUCAUACAGUUGUUCAGCAACCCAGGAUGACCAACUUUGUAAUAUUUUUUCCCACUGGCUUCUAAAGUUCUCAUAGAUAGUAAAAUUCAUUUGGAAGAAGGAGAAACAGCAUGGAGGAUUGCAGAUGGAGAUUUUUAUGGGAAGGCUUGGAGGUUUGGAGGUUGCACAUUACUACUUUUACUUGUUGGCUAGGAAACUAUCAUGUGGUCACACCUAAGUGCCAGUGAGUCUGACAAUGUGGCAAUUUGGUUGCGGGCCAGGGGUAAGAGGCAAUAAAUUUUGCUCAAUAAUUAUCAGUUUUUGCCACAGAUGGAGGGACUUUUCAUUGUAUAAGUAGUUGUUACUGUUUGAAUUUAAAACAGGAAAAUAUCAUUUUCAAAUAAAAACACAAAAGUGGCACAAAAAAUUCUUAUGAUUUUUUUUGCUUGAAUUUUGUGCAUUUAUUUGGCUAUUAUUAAAGUAAAUAAUUCUCUUUAUAGAAAAUGUAGAAAAUAACAAAAAAUAAAUAAGCAGAAAGUCAUCCAAUAACCCCCAUGAUCCCAGCAUAAUAAUCUUUUUUAAGGUAACUGAAAU